AGCAUAUCAAUAAGCGGAGGAAAAGAAACUAACAAGGAUUCCCCUAGUAACGGCGAGUGAAGCGGGAAUAGCUCAAAUUUGAAAUCUCACUGUUUUACAGUGCGAAUUGUAGUUUAGAGAAAUGUUUUCUAGGCAGACGAUUAGUACAAGUUCAUUGGAACAUGACAUCAUAGAGGGUGAAAAUCCCGUCUUUGACUAAUUGCUCUGUUUAAUAUGAUACAUUUUCCAAGAGUCGGUUUGUUUGGGAAUGCAGACCAAAAUGGGUGGUAAAUACCAUCUAAAGCUAAAUAUUGGCGAGAGACCGAUAGCGAACAAGUACCGUGAGGGAAAGAUGAAAAGAACUUUGAAAAGAGAGUUAAACAGUACGUGAAAUUGUCAAAAGGGAAACGCUUGAAACCAGUAUUUUUUCUAGUAAUUCACCCAUCUUUUAGGUGGUUUAUUUUACUAGGAAAGAGUCAACAUCAGUUUUGUUUGGGGUAAAAAACUAUGGGAAGGUAACCUGCUUCGGGAGGUAUUAUAGACCAUAGCUAUGCCCUGGAUGAGACUGAGGUCUGCAGUAUUUUUUGGCCAUCUGGCACACCAAUACUUGGGAUGUUGACGAAAUGGUUUUAAGCGACCCGUCU
Molecule: ribosomal RNA, 623 nt
Filed under: uncultured fungus
Lineage: Eukaryota; Fungi
Description: eukaryotic LSU rRNA
Rfam family: Eukaryotic large subunit ribosomal RNA
Source: RNAcentral